RNAcentral lists this ribosomal RNA (253 nucleotides) under uncultured bacterium. RNAcentral's name for it is "partial 16S ribosomal RNA". It matches the Rfam family "Bacterial small subunit ribosomal RNA", at positions 524 to 776 of the family's 1533-position model. The record is from RNAcentral.
UACGUAGGGGGCAAGCGUUGUCCGGAUUUAUUGGGCGUAAAGAGCGUGUAGGCGGUUUGGUAGGUCCGCUGUGAAAACUCGAGGCUCAACCUCGAGACGCCGGUGGAAACCAUCAGGCUAGAGUCCGGAAGAGGAGAGUGGAAUUCCUGGUGUAGCGGUGAAAUGCGCAGAUAUCAGGAGGAACACCGGUGGCGAAGGCGGUUCUCUGGGCAUGUCCUGACGCUGAGGAGCGAAAGUGUGGGGAGCGAACAGG